GUCGCAUCAGAUUUCCUGGUGUAACGAAUUUUAAAUACUUCUUGCUCAGCAAGUUUAUCCCGGCGCCCCCGCCGGGAUA
RNAcentral lists this non-coding RNA (79 nucleotides) under Atlantibacter sp. RC6. Its description in RNAcentral is "DsrA RNA". It matches the Rfam family "DsrA RNA". From Rfam's summary of the family: DsrA RNA regulates both transcription, by overcoming transcriptional silencing by the nucleoid-associated H-NS protein, and translation, by promoting efficient translation of the stress sigma factor, RpoS. These two activities of DsrA can be separated by mutation: the first of three stem-loops of the 85 nucleotide RNA is necessary for RpoS translation but not for anti-H-NS action, while the second stem-loop is essential for antisilencing and less critical for RpoS translation. The record is from RNAcentral. Lineage: Bacteria; Pseudomonadati; Pseudomonadota; Gammaproteobacteria; Enterobacterales; Enterobacteriaceae.